AAAACAUGUCCUCUAGGUCUGGUCUGCCCACUGAUUUUAAUGGCCGCAGUAUUUUAACUGUGCAAAGGUAGCAUAAUCAUUAGUCUUUUAAUUGAAGGCUUGUAUGAACGGCUGGACGAGAUACUAACUGUAUCAAUUAAGUUGUUUUAGAAUUUUAUUUUUUAGUUAAAAAGCUAAAAUUUAUUUAAAAGACGAGAAGACCCUAUAGAUCUUUAUAUUAUUUUGUUGGGGUGACAUUGAGAUUUAAUUAACUUUUAAUAUAUUUUUACAUUAAUUUAUGGUUAUUUGAUCCAAUAUUAUUGAUUAGUAAAUUAAGUUACCUUAGGGAUAACAGCGUAAUUCUUUUAGAGAGUUCAUAUCGAUAGAAGAGAUUGCGACCUCGAUGUUGGAUUAAGGUAUGGUAUUGGGUGUAGCAAUUCAGUAGUUAAGUCUGUUCGACUUUUGAUUUCUUACAUGA
RNAcentral lists this ribosomal RNA (457 nucleotides) under Ataenogera abdominalis. Its description in RNAcentral is "partial 16S ribosomal RNA". It matches the Rfam family "Bacterial large subunit ribosomal RNA", at positions 1836 to 2603 of the family's 2925-position model. The record is from RNAcentral. Lineage: Eukaryota; Metazoa; Arthropoda; Insecta; Diptera; Therevidae.